GACGAACGCUGGCGGCGUGCCUAAUACAUGCAAGUUGAGCGCUGAAGGUUGGUACUUGUACCAACUGGAUGAGCAGCGCACGGGCGAGUAACGCGUGGGGAAUCUGCCUUUGAGCGGGGGACAACAUUUGGAAACGAAUGCUAAUACCGCAUAAAAACUUUAAACACAAGUUUUAAGUUUGAAAGAUGCAAUUGCAUCACUCAAAGAUGAUCCCGCGUUGUAUUAGCUAGUUGGUGAGGUAAAGGCUCACCAAGGCGAUGAUACAUAGCCGACCUGAGAGGGUGAGUGGCCAGAUUGGGACGGAGACACGGCCCAAAGUCCUACGGGAGGCAGCAGUAGGGAAUCUUCGGCAAGGGACGAAAGUCUGACCGAGAAACGCCGCGUGAGUGAAGAAGGUUUUCGGAUCGUAAAACUCGGUUGGUAGAGAAGAACGUUGGUGAGAGUGGAAAGCUCAUCAAGUGACGGUAACUACCCAGAAAGGGACGGCUAACUACGUG
RNAcentral lists this ribosomal RNA (497 nucleotides) under uncultured bacterium. Its description in RNAcentral is "partial 16S ribosomal RNA". It matches the Rfam family "Bacterial small subunit ribosomal RNA", at positions 28 to 507 of the family's 1533-position model. The record is from RNAcentral.